GAUGAACGCUGGCGGCGUGCUUAACACAUGCAAGUCGAACGGGGAUUAUUUCAUUGAAGCUUCGGCAGAUUUGGCUUAAUCCUAGUGGCGGACGGGUGAGUAACGCGUGGGUAACCUGCCUUGUACAGGGGGAUAACAGUCAGAAAUGACUGCUAAUACCCGCAUAAGCGCACAGGACCGCAUGGUCCGGUGUGAAAAACUCCGGUGGUAUAAGAUGGACCCGCGUUGGAUUAGCUAGUUGGCAGGGUAACGGCCUACCAAGGCGACGAUCCAUAGCCGGCCUGAGAGGGUGAACGGCCACAUUGGGACUGAGACACGGCCCAGACUCCUACGGGAGGCAGCAGUGGGGAAUAUUGCACAAUGGGGGAAACCCUGAUGCAGCGACGCCGCGUGAAGGAAGAAGUAUCUCGGUAUGUAAACUUCUAUCAGCAGGGAAGAAAAUGACGGUACCUGACUAAGAAGCCCCGGCUAACUA
This 475-nucleotide ribosomal RNA is filed under the name uncultured bacterium. RNAcentral's name for it is "bacterial SSU rRNA". It matches the Rfam family "Bacterial small subunit ribosomal RNA", at positions 28 to 503 of the family's 1533-position model. The record is from RNAcentral.